UACGUAGGGGGCAAGCGUUGUCCGGAUUUAUUGGGCGUAAAGAGCGUGUAGGCGGCUUGGUAGGUCUGCUGUGAAAACUCGGGGCUCAACCCCGAGACGUCGGUGGAAACCACCUGGCUAGAGUCCGGAAGAGGAGAGUGGAAUUCCAGGUGUAGCGGUGAAAUGCGCAGAUAUCAGGAAGAAUAUCCGUGGCGAAGGCGGCUCUCUGGGACGGUACUGACGCUGAGACGCGAAAGCGUGGGGAGCGAACAGG
This 253-nucleotide ribosomal RNA is filed under the name uncultured bacterium. RNAcentral describes it as "partial 16S ribosomal RNA". It matches the Rfam family "Bacterial small subunit ribosomal RNA", at positions 524 to 776 of the family's 1533-position model. The record is from RNAcentral.